This 277-nucleotide ribosomal RNA is filed under the name uncultured Burkholderiales bacterium. Its description in RNAcentral is "partial 16S ribosomal RNA". It matches the Rfam family "Bacterial small subunit ribosomal RNA", at positions 505 to 781 of the family's 1533-position model. The record is from RNAcentral. Lineage: Bacteria; Pseudomonadati; Pseudomonadota; Betaproteobacteria; Burkholderiales.
GUGCCAGCAGCCGCGGUAAUACGUAGGGUGCGAGCGUUAAUCGGAAUUACUGGGCGUAAAGCGUGCGCAGGCGGCUUUGCAAGACAGAGGUGAAAUCCCCGGGCUCAACCUGGGAACUGCCUUUGUGACUGCAAGGCUAGAGUACGGCAGAGGGGGAUGGAAUUCCGCGUGUAGCAGUGAAAUGCGUAGAUAUGCGGAGGAACACCGAUGGCGAAGGCAAUCCCCUGGGCCCGUACUGACGCUCAUGCACGAAAGCGUGGGGAGCAAACAGGAUUAG